Molecule: long non-coding RNA, 902 nt
Filed under: Homo sapiens (human)
Lineage: Eukaryota; Metazoa; Chordata; Mammalia; Primates; Hominidae
Description: non-protein coding LINC02362:29
Source: RNAcentral
UAAUUGGUUGAACCUAAUUCACAGUUAGAACCCCAGCUGCAAGUGAGACUGGAAAAAUGGCUCUCAGAGUUCCCGCCUCUGCAGUAGAGGAAGACACUCCAGAAGGAGUUGAGAAUGGGUGCUGAGUGCCUCUUCAGGAUGUCUGUCACACCUCAGGAAACCUGCCAGGAAUACCAAAGGGAGUGAAAAAUCCAAGGUUGGGAAGCCCUGGGACAUUGAAGUUACAACUGGACGAUAAAAACAGAGUUUUUUCCUUGUGACGUGACCACUGUGAUGUAAAGCUGUAUCUCCUUCAUUUCAUCAAGAAAUUCUUAAAAUUCUCCCCCAACGUGCUUUCAUCUUUCCCUUCAUUGCCAACUCUGUAAGAAGUACCACGCCUUUUCUUUGAAUCUGAUUCUCCUCCAAGAAGCAAUGCUUCUCUGAGGCUUUCACCUUUGCUCACAUCAAAGCCCCCACACUGAAUAAAUACCAUCCUUACAUGCCCUUCCAGAGACUCCACUAAUGGACGAGCUUCAUCCAGCAAAAGAUAACUGGGGAAACUUCAGCAAAAGGACUGUUGAUGAAAAUUUGCUGUAUUUGAUUAUAUAGCUAAGACUAAAACAGGGAACAUGGUUGGAAUUAUACUAAGUAAAUAUGAUAUGUUCUCACAAAGUAGAAAGAAUGCAACUAACUAAUAUAGAAGAAGAGGGAAAGUAAAAUAGUAUUGUUUACAAUUUUAUCAGAGGUAUCAUAAAAGAUACAAAUUCAGAGGUAUUGAAAUACUUAUGCAUCAAAACAACUAUGGCAAAAUUUUACUGAUUCAGUAUUAUGCCUAUGAAAAUUAUUCAGUUCAGUGAUUUGGAGAAGAGGGUAAAGAAAUGUUUACACAUCAGAAUCUGUGGAGGGGAGAAUGUGUGUCUGGA